GUUGACCUCGGAUCAGGUAGGGAUACCCGCUGAACUUAAGCAUAUCAAUAAGCGGAGGAAAAGAAACCAACAGGGAUUGCCCUAGUAACGGCGAGUGAAGCGGCAAC
RNAcentral lists this ribosomal RNA (107 nucleotides) under Pseudocercospora diplusodonis. RNAcentral describes it as "Pseudocercospora diplusodonii partial 28S ribosomal RNA". It matches the Rfam family "Eukaryotic large subunit ribosomal RNA", at positions 1 to 105 of the family's 3401-position model. Lineage: Eukaryota; Fungi; Ascomycota; Dothideomycetes; Mycosphaerellales; Mycosphaerellaceae. The record is from RNAcentral.